Molecule: transfer RNA, 84 nt
Filed under: Phytomonospora endophytica
Lineage: Bacteria; Bacillati; Actinomycetota; Actinomycetes; Micromonosporales; Micromonosporaceae
Description: tRNA-Leu
Source: RNAcentral
CGCCGUGGGCGCCCGCGGUGGCGGCGUCGAGGGCGUCGCGGUCGGUCAUGUCGCCGACGACGAGUUCGGCGCCCGCCGCGGCGA